GGCUAUAUCACAUUGAAACACUGGUCCCUGUACAAUCACUGAAGUUAAGCAACUUUGAUCCUGGUCAGUACCUAGAUAGGUGACCACUUGAGAAUACCAGGUGCCGUAAG
Acanthosepion pharaonis is the source of this 110-nucleotide non-coding RNA. Lineage: Eukaryota; Metazoa; Mollusca; Cephalopoda; Sepiida; Sepiidae. The record is from the annotation of a GenBank genome assembly.